GACGAACGCUGGCGGCGUGCUUAACACAUGCAAGUCGAACGGAAAGGCCCUGCUUUUGUGGGGUGCUCGAGUGGCGAACGGGUGAGUAACACGUGAGUAACCUGCCCUUGACUUUGGGAUAACUUCAGGAAACUGGGGCUAAUACCGGAUAGGAGCUCCUGCUGCAUGGUGGGGGUUGGAAAGUUUCGGCGGUUGGGGAUGGACUCGCGGCUUGUCAGCUUGUUGGUGGGGUAGUGGCUUACCAAGGCUUUGACGGGUAGCCGGCCUGAGAGGGUGACCGGCCACAUUGGGACUGAGAUACGGCCCAGACUCGUACGGGAGGCAGCAGUGGGGAAUAUUGCACAAUGGGCGGAAGCCUGAUGCAGCAACGCCGCGUGCGGGAUGACGGCCUUCGGGUUGUAAACCGCUUUCGCCUGUGACGAAGCGUGAGUGACGGUAAUGGGUAAAGAAGCACCGGCUAACUACGUG
This 468-nucleotide ribosomal RNA is filed under the name uncultured bacterium. RNAcentral's name for it is "partial 16S ribosomal RNA". It matches the Rfam family "Bacterial small subunit ribosomal RNA", at positions 28 to 507 of the family's 1533-position model. The record is from RNAcentral.